Molecule: long non-coding RNA, 543 nt
Organism: Mercenaria mercenaria
Lineage: Eukaryota; Metazoa; Mollusca; Bivalvia; Venerida; Veneridae
Exons: 2
Source: RefSeq, a predicted model, not a curated record
UAUAUCUACAAAAGCCAAUAUGUUUAUGUUUGUAUGUACGUUUCAGCCGCAUACAUAUUAAGAAUAAAUCAAAGUUUGAUCGCUAUGUUCAUAAAUGCUUUAGAUUGUACAACAUGCACUAUAUUGUGUCUGUCCUUUCCAUGUGUAUUCUCAUACAUAUGACGUGGUUAGACAAUUGUCUUUCUAUAAUUGAUUAUGAACAGAUGUGUCCGUUUUACAAACAAUGCACAAGUGAAGUUUCACAACGAGUGCUGCAUAUUGUUAUUGAUUCCUUGGACACGUUAACACAGUAGAACCAAACCACCAAUCACAAUGCUAGUGGAGACAGAUUUUGAAGAAGUUGGAGUUGACAGUAUAGAUGCACCAGAGGGGGAGGGGCGUGACGAUGUGAUUGAUGAUUGGAGAUACUGAUCGUAACUGUAGAUAUUCUGAUUUGUGAAAUGAAAGCCAUGUAAUCUUGAUUUAACAAUACAAAUGUUUGAAAAUGUGUCAAUAUAUCGAAGAUAUUUUUUCUUCAUGGAUUAAAAACGUCUAAGAACUAUA